GACGAACGCUGGCGGCGUGCUUAACACAUGCAAGUCGAACGGAAAGGCCUUUUCGGAGGUACUCGAGUGGCGCACGGGUGAGUAACACGUGGGUGAUCUGCCCUGCACUCUGGGAUAAGCCUGGGAAACUGGGUCUAAUACCGGAUAGGACCGCACUUUAGUGUGUGUGGUGGAAAGUUUUUUCGGUGUAGGAUGAGCCCGCGGCCUAUCAGCUUGUUGGUGGGGUAAUGGCCUACCAAGGCGGCGACGGGUAGCCGGACUGAGAGGUUGGUCGGCCACAUUGGGACUGAGGUACGGCACAGACGCCGACGGGAGGCAGAAGUGGGGAAUAUUGAACAAUGGGCGCAAGCCUGAUGCAGCGACGCCGCGUGGGGGAUGACGGCCUUGGGGUUGUAAAAUCCUUUCGCCAGGGACGAAGCGUUUUGUGACGGUACCUGGAGAAGAAGCACCGGCUAACUACGUG
Molecule: ribosomal RNA, 463 nt
Filed under: uncultured bacterium
Lineage: Bacteria
Description: partial 16S ribosomal RNA
Rfam family: Bacterial small subunit ribosomal RNA
Source: RNAcentral